Non-coding RNA from Gossypium hirsutum (cotton), 145 nucleotides. The record is from Rfam. NCBI's taxonomy places the organism in Eukaryota, Viridiplantae, Streptophyta, Magnoliopsida, Malvales, Malvaceae.
UCUUAAAAAAUUCAUUUAAUUAUACUAUUAAAAAUUGGUAUGUCUAAAGGAAUAAUCAAACAAUGACACGUGAGAUGCCAUAUAUACUUCAUGCUGUUGUAUAGAGACCAAUUUUUAAUUAUAGAAAUGAAUAAUUUUUUUAACA